GAUGAACGCUGGCGGCGUGCUUAACACAUGCAAGUCGAGCGAAGCAGUUAAGUUGAUUUCUUCGGAUUGAUUCUUAACUGACUGAGCGGCGGACGGGUGAGUAACGCGUGGGUGACCUGCCCCAUACCGGGGGAUAACAGCUGGAAACGGCUGCUAAUACCGCAUAAGCGCACAGAGCUGCAUGGCUCGGUGUGAAAAACUCCGGUGGUAUGGGAUGGGCCCGCGUCUGAUUAGGCAGUUGGCGGGGUAACGGCCCACCAAACCGACGAUCAGUAGCCGGCCUGAGAGGGCGACCGGCCACAUUGGGACUGAGACACGGCCCAAACUCCUACGGGAGGCAGCAGUGGGGAAUAUUGCACAAUGGGGGAAACCCUGAUGCAGCGACGCCGCGUGAGCGAAGAAGUAUUUCGGUAUGUAAAGCUCUAUCAGCAGGGAAGAUAAUGACGGUACC
RNAcentral lists this ribosomal RNA (451 nucleotides) under uncultured bacterium. RNAcentral describes it as "bacterial SSU rRNA". It matches the Rfam family "Bacterial small subunit ribosomal RNA", at positions 28 to 479 of the family's 1533-position model. The record is from RNAcentral.